This 207-nucleotide ribosomal RNA is filed under the name uncultured bacterium. RNAcentral's name for it is "partial 16S ribosomal RNA". It matches the Rfam family "Bacterial small subunit ribosomal RNA", at positions 568 to 774 of the family's 1533-position model. The record is from RNAcentral.
CUCGUAGGCGGUUCGUCGCGUCCGGUGUGAAAGUCCAUCGCCUAACGGUGGAUCUGCGCCGGGUACGGGCGGGCUGGAGUGCGGUAGGGGAGACUGGAAUUCCCGGUGUAACGGUGGAAUGUGUAGAUAUCGGGAAGAACACCAACGGCGAAGGCAGGUCUCUGGGCCGUUACUGACGCUGAGGAGCGAAAGCGUGGGGAGCGAACA